Molecule: ribosomal RNA, 268 nt
Filed under: uncultured prokaryote
Description: partial 16S ribosomal RNA
Rfam family: Bacterial small subunit ribosomal RNA
Source: RNAcentral
UACGUAGGGGCAAGCGUUAUCCGGAAUUAUUGGGCGUAAAGAGCGCGCAGGUGGUUGAUUAAGUCUGAUGUGAAAGCCCACGGCUUAACCGUGGAGGGUCAUUGGAAACUGGUCGACUUGAGUGCAGAAGAGGGAAGUGGAAUUCCAUGUGUAGCGGUGAAAUGCGUAGAGAUAUGGAGGAACACCAGUGGCGAAGGCGGCUUCCUGGUCUGUAACUGACACUGAGGCGCGAAAGCGUGGGGAGCAAACAGGAUUAGAUACCCCCGUA